Molecule: small nuclear RNA, 136 nt
Organism: Oryzias javanicus (javanese ricefish)
Lineage: Eukaryota; Metazoa; Chordata; Actinopteri; Beloniformes; Adrianichthyidae
Product: RNA, U11 small nuclear 3, pseudogene
Source: Ensembl
AAAAAGGGCUUCUGUCAUGAUUGGCACAGGGGAGGGAGGGGACCCCUCUCUCCCUUGCGGAAUCGCUAUCAAGAGAUUUCGGAAGCACAAUUUUUGUUAUUCGAGGCUGCUAGUGACCACUGUUCCUGGCGCCUCC